Long non-coding RNA from Manis javanica (Malayan pangolin), 814 nucleotides. RefSeq lists it as uncharacterized. NCBI's taxonomy places the organism in Eukaryota, Metazoa, Chordata, Mammalia, Pholidota, Manidae. The record is from RefSeq and is a predicted model, not a curated record.
CCGUCGCGGCUGCCGCGGAGUCCCCAAAGGAACCCUAACAGGAGCUAGGGGGCAACAGCAGAAUGAGAGAGUGUGUGCUGGGUGCCUGAGAGCCCAGACAUAUAUUAGAAGCAGCCCAGCAUGGAACCAGCUCAUCAUCAGGUGAAGAGGGGCCAGGAGAGGGAAACAAAGGUGUAUGACACACGAUUCAGUGUUCUCAUCACAAGAGAAGAAUUUUAUUUCAUUUCUGGAUAUACAUGCAUUCUACCAACAGUCUCCACCUUCAGCUUACUGAGGAGUUAGGAAGGAUGGAAAGAAAAAGGUUGGCUUUGCUUUCCCUUCCCCUCCAGCUCAUCAUUUUCAGCAUAAGGAUAUGACAGGAUUCCUUGGUCCUCACGUUUCUCAGAACUCUAUUGCAUUCUUUCUGCACUGGAAAUGAGUUCUGGUGCAAAAGGCAAGUGUGGCCUCUUUGGUUUGUUACCACCGCUGCUCCACCUCCCCAGACCCACCUCACUCACUUGUAGAUGCAGAACUGAGCUUGUUCUGGCUUUGAGUCCUGCUGACCUCCCACGCCCUCUGGGUCCCCUGGAGUUCUGUGCUCAUGGGGCAUCAUAGACAUUAUAUGCAAAUGGGACAGCAAGAAAUGGCAGCAGGCACACAUACUGCCCAGAUCUUGUCUGCUCACAGGCAUGCUCCACUGUUCCAUCGGACUUCACUUGCAAAACCCAAGUUCAAAAAUAAGAUUACUCAGAAUUUCAAAACAGUGACAGCAGAGCAUUAAACCAAGUGCAGGGCCCUUCUGAGCACAGAGCCCUGUACCCCUACUCAGGCACCU